GAUGAACGCUGGCGGCGUGCUUAACACAUGCAAGUCGAACGAAGCACUUGAAACGGAUUCUUCGGAUGAAGUUUCCUGUGACCGAGUGGCGGACGGGUGAGUAAUGCGUGGGUAACCUGCCUCAUACAGGGGGAUAACAGUUAGAAAUGGCUGCUAAUACCGCAUAAGCGCACGGCAUCGCAUGAUGCAGUGUGAAAAACUCCGGUGGUAUGAGAUGGACCCGCGUUGGAUUAGCUAGUUGGCAGGGUAACGGCCUACCAAGGCGACGAUCCAUAGCCGGCCUGAGAGGGUGGACGGCCACAUUGGGACUGAGACACGGCCCAGACUCCUACGGGAGGCAGCAGUGGGGAAUAUUGCACAAUGGGGGAAACCCUGAUGCAGCGACGCCGCGUGAGCGAAGAAGUAUUUCGGUAUGUAAAGCUCUAUCAGCAGGGAAGAAAAUGACGGUACCUGACUAAGAAGCCCCGGCUAACUACGUGCCAGCCGCCGCCGUAA
This 495-nucleotide ribosomal RNA is filed under the name uncultured bacterium. Its description in RNAcentral is "partial 16S ribosomal RNA". It matches the Rfam family "Bacterial small subunit ribosomal RNA", at positions 28 to 523 of the family's 1533-position model. The record is from RNAcentral.